RNAcentral lists this ribosomal RNA (477 nucleotides) under uncultured bacterium. RNAcentral's name for it is "bacterial SSU rRNA". It matches the Rfam family "Bacterial small subunit ribosomal RNA", at positions 365 to 832 of the family's 1533-position model. The record is from RNAcentral.
UUCGCAAUGCCCGAAAGGGUGACGAAGCGACGCCGCGUGUGGGAAGAAGGCUUUCGGGUUGUAAACCACUGUCGGGAGUUAAGAAAUGCAAGGAUAUUAAUAGUGUCUUUGUUUGACUAAGGCUCCGGAGGAAGCCACGGCUAACUCUGUGCCAGCAGCCGCGGUAAUACAGAGGCGGCAAGCGUUGUUCGGAAUUAUUGGGCGUAAAGAGCACGUAGGCGGCUAUGUAAGUCGGUUGUGAAAGCCUUCCGCUCAACGGAAGAACAGCAUCCGAUACUACAUGGCUUGAGUGCGGGAGGGGAGAGUGGAACUUCUGGUGGAGCGGUGAAAUGCGUAGAUAUCAGAAGGAACGCCGGCGGCGAAAGCGGCUCUCUGGCCCAUAACUGACGCUGAGUGUGCGAAAGCUAGGGGAGCAAACGGGAUUAGAUACCCCGGUAGUCCUAGCCGUAAACGAUGGGCACUAAGUAGAGGGGUUUU